GGACAGUGACGAUUUUGUGAUAGGUCUCGUUCGUCGUAAUUGGCCUAUUUUGGCCUUGCCGACCAUCCUGUUAUAUCACCACCCAUAUUCUGAGUCC
This is a small nucleolar RNA of Lotus japonicus, 97 nucleotides long. RefSeq annotates it as small nucleolar RNA Z43. The transcript has a single exon. NCBI's taxonomy places the organism in Eukaryota, Viridiplantae, Streptophyta, Magnoliopsida, Fabales, Fabaceae. The record is from RefSeq and is a predicted model, not a curated record.